CCCUUAGAUGUCCUGGGCCGCACGCGCGCUACACUGAUGCAUGCAACGAGUUUCAUUUCUCCUGGGUCGAGAGGCCCGGGUAAUCUGUUGAACGUGCAUCGUGAUAGGGAUAGAUCAUUGCAAUUAUUGAUCUUGAACGAGGAAUUCCUAGUAAACGCGAGUCAUCAGCUCGCAUUGAUUACGUCCCUGCCCUUUGUACACACCGCCCGUCGCUACUACCGAUUGAAUGGUUUAGUGAGAUCCUUGGAUCGGCCCUGUCGCGGCUGGCAACGGCCGCGUCGGCGCGUCGAGAAGACGAUCAAACUUGAUCAUUUAGAGGAAGUAAAAGUCGUAACA
Molecule: ribosomal RNA, 336 nt
Filed under: uncultured eukaryote
Lineage: Eukaryota
Description: partial 18S ribosomal RNA
Rfam family: Eukaryotic small subunit ribosomal RNA
Source: RNAcentral